GGGCUCGCAGGUAACCAGGACGCACGUCUGGAGUCACCCGCCUCUCCCGCACGGUGCUCAGGAUGGAGGUCUACGGGAAGCUGCUCAGACUUUUGGGAAGCAGUGGAUGGAGUAAGCCAGCGCAUGGGGUAAAGGCUGCCAGCCCCUUGGUGAGCUCCGUCUGGGCGGAGGAGCCCGAGAAGUUGCAUUUCACACGGGACAAUACCUUACAGCAGAGACAUUUUAGACGACAUAACCUACCAGCCGGGAUGAGGAUGGAAAAAGCCACAGGGAGAAAAACGGGGCUUGCGACCGAGUAGCUGCUCAGUGAAUAUUUAUGAAAUGAAGGACUACAUGAAAGAACAGUGCUGAGAGAGCCACCCAGAACCGAAUAUAAGGAGAGGAUUUUGC
Hyaena hyaena (striped hyena) is the source of this 390-nucleotide long non-coding RNA. RefSeq lists it as uncharacterized. NCBI's taxonomy places the organism in Eukaryota, Metazoa, Chordata, Mammalia, Carnivora, Hyaenidae. The transcript is spliced from 3 exons. The record is from RefSeq and is a predicted model, not a curated record.